UUGAAGAGUUUGAUCAUGGCUCAGAUUGAACGCUGGCGGCAGGCCUAACACAUGCAAGUCGAGCGGUAGCACAGAGAGCUUGCUCUCGGGUGACGAGCGGCGGACGGGUGAGUAAUGUCUGGGAAACUGCCUGAUGGAGGGGGAUAACUACUGGAAACGGUAGCUAAUACCGCAUAAUGUCGCAAGACCAAAGUGGGGGACCUUCGGGCCUCAUGCCAUCAGAUGUGCCCAGAUGGGAUUAGCUAGUAGGUGGGGUAACGGCUCACCUAGGCGACGAUCCCUAGCUGGUCUGAGAGGAUGACCAGCCACACUGGAACUGAGACACGGUCCAGACUCCUACGGGAGGCAGCAGUGGGGAAUAUUGCACAAUGGGCGCAAGCCUGAUGCAGCCAUGCCGCGUGUGUGAAGAAGGCCUUCGGGUUGUAAAGCACUUUCAGCGGGGAGGAAGGCGAUAAGGUUAAUAACCUUGUCGAUUGACGUUACCCGCAGAAGAAGCACCGGCUAACUCCGUGCCAGCAGCCGCGGUAAUACGGAGGGUGCAAGCGUUAAUCGGAAUUACUGGGCGUAAAGCGCACGCAGGCGGUCUGUCAAGUCGGAUGUGAAAUCCCCGGGCUCAACCUGGGAACUGCAUUCGAAACUGGCAGGCUAGAGUCUUGUAGAGGGGGGUAGAAUUCCAGGUGUAGCGGUGAAAUGCGUAGAGAUCUGGAGGAAUACCGGUGGCGAAGGCGGCCCCCUGGACAAAGACUGACGCUCAGGUGCGAAAGCGUGGGGAGCAAACAGGAUUAGAUACCCUGGUAGUCCACGCCGUAAACGAUGUCGAUUUGGAGGUUGUGCCCUUGAGGCGUGGCUUCCGGAGCUAACGCGUUAAAUCGACCGCCUGGGGAGUACGGCCGCAAGGUUAAAACUCAAAUGAAUUGACGGGGGCCCGCACAAGCGGUGGAGCAUGUGGUUUAAUUCGAUGCAACGCGAAGAACCUUACCUGGUCUUGACAUCCACAGAACUUAGCAGAGAUGCUUUGGUGCCUUCGGGAACUGUGAGACAGGUGCUGCAUGGCUGUCGUCAGCUCGUGUUGUGAAAUGUUGGGUUAAGUCCCGCAACGAGCGCAACCCUUAUCCUUUGUUGCCAGCGGUUAGGCCGGGAACUCAAAGGAGACUGCCAGUGAUAAACUGGAGGAAGGUGGGGAUGACGUCAAGUCAUCAUGGCCCUUACGACCAGGGCUACACACGUGCUACAAUGGCAUAUACAAAGAGAAGCGACCUCGCGAGAGCAAGCGGACCUCAUAAAGUAUGUCGUAGUCCGGAUUGGAGUCUGCAACUCGACUCCAUGAAGUCGGAAUCGCUAGUAAUCGUAGAUCAGAAUGCUACGGUGAAUACGUUCCCGGGCCUUGUACACACCGCCCGUCACACCAUGGGAGUGGGUUGCAAAAGAAGUAGGUAGCUUAACCUUCGGGAGGGCGCUUACCACUUUGUGAUUCAUGACUGGGGUGAAGUCGUAACAAGGUAACCGUAGGGGAACCUGCGGUUGGAUCACCUCCUU
RNAcentral lists this ribosomal RNA (1536 nucleotides) under Klebsiella pneumoniae. Its description in RNAcentral is "bacterial SSU rRNA". It matches the Rfam family "Bacterial small subunit ribosomal RNA". RNAcentral also lists the same sequence under 2 other names. The record is from RNAcentral. Lineage: Bacteria; Pseudomonadati; Pseudomonadota; Gammaproteobacteria; Enterobacterales; Enterobacteriaceae.